RNAcentral lists this ribosomal RNA (472 nucleotides) under uncultured organism. RNAcentral's name for it is "partial 16S ribosomal RNA". It matches the Rfam family "Bacterial small subunit ribosomal RNA", at positions 333 to 797 of the family's 1533-position model. The record is from RNAcentral.
ACACUCCUACGGGAGGCAGCAGUAGGGAAUCUUCCACAAUGGGUGCAAACCUGAUGGAGCAAUGCCGCGUGAGUGAAGAAGGUCUUCGGAUCGUAAAGCUCUGUUGUUAGAGAAGAACACGUGCUAGGUAACUACUAGCGCCUUGACGGUAUCUAACCAGAAAGUCACGGCUAACUACGUGCCAGCAGCCGCGGUAAUACGUAGGUGACAAGCGUUGUCCGGAUUUAUUGGGCGUAAAGGGAGCGCAGGCGGUCUGUUUAGUCUAAUGUGAAAGCCCACGGCUUAACCGUGGAACGGCAUUGGAAACUGACAGACAUGAAUGUAGAAGAGGAAAAUGGAAUUCCAAGUGUAGCGGUGGAAUGCGUAGAUAUUUGGAGGAACACCAGUGGCGAAGGCGAUUUUCUGGUCUAACAUUGACGCUGAGGCUCGAAAGCGUGGGGAGCGAACAGGAUUAGAUACCCUUGUAGUCCCA